AUUGAACGCUGGCGGCAGGCCUAACACAUGCAAGUCGAGCGGAUGAAGGGAGCUUGCUCCUGGAUUCAGCGGCGGACGGGUGAGUAAUGCCUAGGAAUCUGCCUGGUGGUGGGGGAUAACGUCCGGAAACGGGCGCUAAUACCGCAUACGUCCUGAGGGAGAAAGUGGGGGAUCUUCGGACCUCACGCUAUCAGAUGAGCCUAGGUCGUAUUAGCUAGUUGGUGGGGUAAAGGCCUACCAAGGCGACGAUCCGUAACUGGUCUGAGAGGAUGAUCAGUCACACUGGAACUGAGACACGGUCCAGACUCCUACGGGAGGCAGCAGUGGGGAAUAUUGGACAAUGGGCGAAAGCCUGAUCCAGCCAUGCCGCGUGUGUGAAGAAGGUCUUCGGAUUGUAAAGCACUUUAAGUUGGGAGGAAGGGCAGUAAGUUAAUACCUUGCUGUUUUGACGUUACCAACAGAAUAAGCACCGGCUAACUUCGUG
RNAcentral lists this ribosomal RNA (484 nucleotides) under uncultured bacterium. Its description in RNAcentral is "partial 16S ribosomal RNA". It matches the Rfam family "Bacterial small subunit ribosomal RNA", at positions 30 to 507 of the family's 1533-position model. The record is from RNAcentral.